UUGAACGCUGGCGGCAGGCCUAACACAUGCAAGUCGAACGGUAACAGGAAGCAGCUUGCUGCUUUGCUGACGAGUGGCGGCCGGGUGAGUAAUGUCUGGGAAACUGCCUGAUGGAGGGGGAUAACUACUGGAAACGGUAGCUAAUACCGCAUAACGUCGCAAGACCAAAGAGGGGGACCUUCGGGCCUCUUGCCAUCGGAUGUGCCCCGAUGGGAUUAGCUUGUUGGUGGGGUAACGGCUCACCAAGGCGACGAUCCCUAGCUGGUCUGAGAGGAUGACCAGCCACACUGGAACUGAGACACGGUCCAGACUCCUACGGGAGGCAGCAGUGGGGAAUAUUGCACAAUGGGCGCAAGCCUGAUGCAGCCAUGCCGCGUGUAUGAAGAAGGCCUUCGGGUUGUAAAGUACUUUCAGCGGGGAGGAAGGGAGUAAAGUUAAUACCUUUACUCAUUGACGUUACCCGCAGAAGAAGCACCGGCUAACUCCGUG
RNAcentral lists this ribosomal RNA (489 nucleotides) under uncultured bacterium. Its description in RNAcentral is "partial 16S ribosomal RNA". It matches the Rfam family "Bacterial small subunit ribosomal RNA", at positions 30 to 507 of the family's 1533-position model. The record is from RNAcentral.